UACCAGCACCCCGAGUGGUCGGGACGAUUAUUGGGCCUAAAGCAUCCGUAGCCGGUUUUACAAGUCCUCCGUUAAAUCCACCUGCUUAACAGAUGGGCUGCGGAAGAUACUAUAGAGCUAGGAGGCGGGAGAGGCAAGCGGUACUCGAUGGGUAGGGGUAAAAUCCGUUGAUCCAUUGAAGACCACCAGUGGCGAAGGCGGCUUGCCAGAACGCGCUCGACGGUGAGGGAUGAAAGCUGGGGGAGCAAACCGG
This 253-nucleotide ribosomal RNA is filed under the name uncultured bacterium. RNAcentral describes it as "partial 16S ribosomal RNA". It matches the Rfam family "Archaeal small subunit ribosomal RNA", at positions 474 to 727 of the family's 1478-position model. The record is from RNAcentral.